This 253-nucleotide ribosomal RNA is filed under the name uncultured bacterium. Its description in RNAcentral is "partial 16S ribosomal RNA". It matches the Rfam family "Bacterial small subunit ribosomal RNA", at positions 524 to 776 of the family's 1533-position model. The record is from RNAcentral.
UACAGAGGGGGCAAGCGUUGUUCGGAAUUACUGGGCGUAAAGGGCUCGUAGGCGGCCAACUAAGUCAGACGUGAAAUCCCUCGGCUUAACCGGGGAACUGCAUCUGAUACUGGAUGGCUUGAGAUUGGGAGAGGGAUGCGGAAUUCCAGGUGUAGCGGUGAAAUGCGUAGAUAUCUGGAGGAACACCGGUGGCGAAGGCGGCAUCCUGGACCAAUAUUGACGCUGAGGAGCGAAAGCUAGGGGAGCAAACGGG